AGCAUUGGCGGGCUGCUUAACAUGCAAGUCGAACGGUAACAGGGAGCUUGCUCCGCUGACGAGUGGCGAACGGGUGAGUAAUACAUCGGAACGUGCCCAGUAAUGGGGGAUAGCUCGGCGAAAGCCGGAUUAAUACCGCAUACGCCCUGAGGGGGAAAGUGGGGGACCGCAAGGCCUCACGUUAUUGGAGCGGCCGAUGGCUGAUUAGCUAGUUGGUAGGGUAAAGGCCUACCAAGGCGACGAUCAGUAGCUGGUCUGAGAGGACGAUCAGCCACACUGGGACUGAGACACGGCCCAGACUCCUACGGGAGGCAGCAGUGGGGAAUUUUGGACAAUGGGGGAAACCCUGAUCCAGCAAUGCCGCGUGUGCGAAGAAGGCCUUCGGGUUGUAAAGCACUUUUGUCAGGGAAGAAAUCCUUUGGGCUAAUACCCUAGGGGGAUGACGGUACCUGAAGAAUAAGCACCGGCUAACUACGUGCCAGCAGCCGCGGUAAUACGUAGGGUGCAAGCGUUAAUCGGAAUUACUGGGCGUAAAGCGUGCGCAGGCGGUUGUGUAAGACAGGUGUGAAAUCCCCGGGCUUAACCUGGGAAUUGCAUUUGUGACUGCACG
This 610-nucleotide ribosomal RNA is filed under the name Limnobacter sp. RNAcentral's name for it is "bacterial SSU rRNA". It matches the Rfam family "Bacterial small subunit ribosomal RNA", at positions 32 to 639 of the family's 1533-position model. The record is from RNAcentral. Lineage: Bacteria; Pseudomonadati; Pseudomonadota; Betaproteobacteria; Burkholderiales; Burkholderiaceae.